GAUGAACGCUGGCGGCGUGCCUAAUACAUGCAAGUCGAGCGAACAGAUGAGGAGCUUGCUCCUCUGACGUUAGCGGCGGACGGGUGAGUAACACGUGGAUAACCUACCUAUAAGACUGGGAUAACUUCGGGAAACCGGAGCUAAUACCGGAUAAUAUAUUGAACCGCAUGGUUCAAUAGUAAAAGACGGUUUUGCUGUCACUUAUAGAUGGAUCCGCGCCGCAUUAGCUAGUUGGUAAGGUAACGGGUUACCAAGGCAACGAUGCGUAGCCGACCUGAGAGGGUGAUAGGCCACACUGGAACUGAGACACGGUCCAGACUCCUACGGGAGGCAGCAGUAGGGAAUCUUCCGCAAUGGGCGAGAGCCUGACGGAGCAACGCCGCGUGAGUGAUGAAGGUCUUCGGAUCGUAAAACUCUGUUAUUAGGGAAGAACAAAUGUGUAAGUAACUAUGCACGUCUUGACGGUACCUAAUCAGAAAGCCACGGCUAACUACGUG
Molecule: ribosomal RNA, 497 nt
Filed under: uncultured bacterium
Lineage: Bacteria
Description: partial 16S ribosomal RNA
Rfam family: Bacterial small subunit ribosomal RNA
Source: RNAcentral